Long non-coding RNA from Nothobranchius furzeri (turquoise killifish), 2177 nucleotides. Lineage: Eukaryota; Metazoa; Chordata; Actinopteri; Cyprinodontiformes; Nothobranchiidae. The record is from Ensembl.
CUCUCUCUCUCUCUCUCUCUCUCUCUCUCUCUCUCUCUCUCUCUCUCUCGUGUGUGUGUGUGUGAUGCAGACAGAGGUGGGUCUAGGUGGAUUAGCUGUCCACUCUUUCUGUGCUCCCCGAAUUCCAUUCCGCCUUUUACUUUUCCUGCAUCGCUCCCUCCACUCAGGACUUCCCAGUGACUUUUCCCAGGCUGCCUUCAGCUCCACUCUGAAUUCCGACUUCCAAGGAGGAGGAAGGAGCGCGUUCGGGGAUCUCUGAGGAGCGACUUUUGCUGCUUUCGCCCCCUCCUUUGAGAAAACAAGCGCGGAGAGGUGGAAAGGCUUUUUACCUGUUGAUGAGGGUCGCUGAGGAGCCGCAGGUUUCUCCACACUCUGGUGAAGUGUGAAUAAGUAAUAAUAAGAGAGAGAGAGAAAGAGAGAGAGAGAGAAGGUGACUGGUUCCGGUGGACCAGCGGAGGAGUGACGGACCGAACACGGGUUUUCUUUUCCCCCAGCAGAAGCAGCCUGUGCUGGGUUGUAGGUGGAACAUGGGCACUCUGAACUUCUGGAGCGUUGGACUCCUUUUGAUCCUCACGUGCCAGCUGGUUUCUGUGUCUCAGGCCUCCAAGGCGUGGGGAGAGGUCCCGCUUCCAGAAGAUUUGGAAUCAGAAAAAGAUGUCCGGGCAUCUCGGAGUUUACUGGACGAUGAUGAGGACUUCGCAGCUGACGAAGCUUCAGGAGGUGGGCUAGCUAAGAAGGAUUGGUAACCACAAACCACAGUAACAGCUGCCCUUAAUUCAUGGGAGUCAUGCUUCUUAUUAUGCAUUCCUUAGUUUGUAAACCCAACCCAAAAGAUGAAAAUGAGAAGAGAUUGCCUAAUCCCAAUAAAACAUCUCAGAGGAGUGUAGCUCUCCUGUGCAUUGGUGCAGCACUUAUUAAAAGGGCAAAAUGCUUUUUUCCUGGCCUUAAAUCUAAAUGUUGACCUCAUCUUUACUCUUGUGUCUCGUCCUCCAAAGACCUGCCGAGUGGGGAGGAAGAUGGCAGCACUCCAGAUCCCGACAGCACAAGUGAGAGAGCAGAAAAUCUACAGCAUCUAACCGUCGUCUGUGACAGAAUUUCUUUACGUGUGGUAGAUCGCUCAGCCCGCCAAAGCUCUACCAUCUGUAAUUCAGACAUAUUCACGCAGCGUGUGUCAGACUUACACACACACACACACACACACACACACACACACACACACACACACACACACACACACACACACACACUGGAGUUUUGAGCGAUGACCUUCUCAUCCUGCUGAAGCCUCUCCUCCCUCGAUGCCAAUUUGCCAGAGUCUGGUCAUAACACGGGGCUCAGGCGCUGAGACAUAACCCCCCCCCCCCCCCCUUUAAUCUUUUCAACCACUGGCCGAGGUGACAGCAAAGUAAGACACAUAAAAGCCUGAAGAACAAUAAAAGUGGCUUCAGAGCCUCUCUGCUAGCCAGUUCAAUGCUGUGAUUCCUGACCCCCACCAUGCUUGGCAUAAACACAUUUGUCUGUAAGUACAGAUCACACACAGUGGCACAAGGAACACGGUUUAGUCAUUUAAAGUAAGCUUAUCACCCACGCUUCACUGCUGCAUGGUAUUUAUUGGUUUGAGGCGUUUUCUGCACUUCUCUAACUGAUUGUUGUCGAUUAUCAUUUUUCUAAUUAGUUAUUCUUUGCAUGCUUGAUUUUAUUAUAUUUUUGUAUUUAGAGGUCAGCGUCAAAUGUCACCUACUGAUGAAACUUUCACAUAAUAUGACAACACAUUCGACCUCUUGGUUAUGCUGUUUGUGCUUGAAUAUUUCAGACCUCAAACAAAAUUUAACAUCAGAUAAAGAUGACUUGAGUAAAUACAUGAUGCACUUUUCAAAUGAUAAUUUAGUUUAUUAAAGGUCUCAUUCACUUGUUUUUUCAAUAGUCUGUGGUAUGAAUGAAUGUCUUGUGAAUCAUUUCGUGUGGGGGAAAAAGCUCUGGCAGUCCUGUUUCAGGGGUAAAAUUAGGAAUGGGUAGGCAGAAAGCAACAGGAUUAAGAGUCUUACUCAUUUAUAUUCAAACGUUAAGACCAUUUUCACGUUCAGUUCGCAUAUGCAACUGAGAGUGGCUGAUCGCAUUUAAAAAAGAACAAUUAAAGCCCUACUAUGCAACUUUUUUCAUAUUUUUACAUCAUUUUA